Molecule: ribosomal RNA, 253 nt
Filed under: uncultured bacterium
Lineage: Bacteria
Description: partial 16S ribosomal RNA
Rfam family: Bacterial small subunit ribosomal RNA
Source: RNAcentral
UACGUAGGGAGCAAGCGUUGUCCGGAAUUACUGGGCGUAAAGGGCGCGUAGGUGGGCGCUUAAGUCAGGUGUGAAAACUCCGGGCUCAACCUGGAGACUGCACUUGAAACUGGGUGUCUUGAGGGCAGGAGAGGAAAGUGGAAUUCCUAGUGUAGCGGUGAAAUGCGUAGAUAUUAGGAGGAACGCCAGUGGCGAAGGCGACUUUCUGGACUGUACCUGACGCUGAGGCGCGAAAGCGUGGGUAGCGAACGGG